CAGCAGGCGCGAAAACUUUACAAUGCUGGAAACAGCGAUAAGGGGACCUCGAGUGCCAGGUUACAAAUCUGGCUGUCGUGAUGCCUAAAAAGCAUUGCAUAGCAAGGGCCGGGCAAGACCGGUGCCAGCCGCCGCGGUAACACCGGCGGCUCGAGUGGUAACCGUUAUUAUUGGGUCUAAAGGGUCUGUAGCCGGCCGGACAAGUCUCUUGGGAAAUCCAGCAGCUCAACUGUUGGGCUUUCAGGAGAUACUGUCUGGCUCGAGGCCGGGAGAGGUGAGAGGUACUUCAGGGGUAGGGGUGAAAUCUUGUAAUCCUUGAAGGACCACCAGUGGCGAAGGCGUCUCACCAGAACGGACCUGACGGCAAGGGACGAAAGCUAGGGGCACGAACCGGAUUAGAUACCCGGGUAGUCCUAGCCGUAAACGAUACUCGCUAGGUGUCGGCCACGGUGCGACCGUUGUCGGUGCCGUAGGGAAGCCGUGAAGCGAGCCACCUGGGAAGUACGGCCGCAAGGCUGAAACUUAAAGGAAUUGGCGGGGGAGCACAAGGGCGAAUCGCGG
Molecule: ribosomal RNA, 561 nt
Filed under: uncultured archaeon
Lineage: Archaea
Description: bacterial SSU rRNA
Rfam family: Archaeal small subunit ribosomal RNA
Source: RNAcentral